AGUGAACCACCUUUUCAAGCCAAACAAUCUGGAAAUAGGAAGAAAGGUCUUCGAGCAAGCAAAAUGGUUGACAGAGAAAGAUCAGUAGCUAAUGAGACGAUGAACGCAGACAUGUUAGUACGUGCUGCAGAGGAAGAAUCUGAUCCUAGUGUUCUUAGGGAUAUCGAUACGGGAGUAUUAUCCAAUAUGAAGGAAAGUAAAUUGGAUGCAGAUGAAUGCAAAUUGGAUGCAGUAAAUUGGAUGCAGAUGAAUGCAAGCAAAGUGGUUGACAGAGAAAGAUCAGUAGCUAAUGAGACGAUGAACGGAGACAUGUUAGUAUGUGCUACAGAGGAAGAAUCUGAUCCUAGUGUUCUUAGGGAUAUCGAUACGGGAGAAUUAUCCAAUAUGAAGGAAAGUAAAUUGGAUGC
RNAcentral lists this long non-coding RNA (407 nucleotides) under Cucumis sativus (cucumber). Its description in RNAcentral is "long non-coding RNA (CSAT_LNC001275)". The record is from RNAcentral. Lineage: Eukaryota; Viridiplantae; Streptophyta; Magnoliopsida; Cucurbitales; Cucurbitaceae.